UUGGAUUGAUAUGUCUAAGAAUAUCUAAAUUAUUUUAUUAUUGUAUUGUCAAAUCCACUUAAAAUUGGUUAAAAAAUGUGAGAAUCUUUGAAUUAUUUUUUAUUGUGUAUUGUCAAAUCUUGUUACAAAGUCGACAAUAGAUUGAGAAGUGAGAGAACUUUUAAAAUUUGGAGUGGUAUACAUCUAUAAAUAAUGCUAUGCCCUUUUAUUUUUAUUCACAACCAUUGAAUUCCAUUAAGCUUUAUACUCAUCCAGAAACAAAAUGCCACUUCGUUCUUGUGGAUAUAAUCCAGAAGAAGAUAAAUUAUUAUGUCUA
Molecule: long non-coding RNA, 316 nt
Filed under: Eutrema salsugineum
Lineage: Eukaryota; Viridiplantae; Streptophyta; Magnoliopsida; Brassicales; Brassicaceae
Description: long non-coding RNA (ESAL_LNC001471)
Source: RNAcentral